Molecule: ribosomal RNA, 468 nt
Filed under: uncultured bacterium
Lineage: Bacteria
Description: partial 16S ribosomal RNA
Rfam family: Bacterial small subunit ribosomal RNA
Source: RNAcentral
GACGAACGCUGGCGGCGUGCUUAACACAUGCAAGUCGAACGGAAAGGCCCUGCUUUGGUGGGGUGCGCGAGUGGCGAACGGGUGAGUAACACGUGAGUAACCUGCCCUUGACUUUGGGAUAACUUCAGGAAACUGGGGCUAAUACCGGAUAGGAGCUCCUGCUGCAUGGUGGGGGUUGGAAAGUUUCGGCGGUUGGGGAUGGACUCGCGGCUUAUCAGCUUGUUGGUGGGGUAGUGGCUUACCAAGGCUUUGACGGGUAGCCGGCCUGAGAGGGUGACCGGCCACAUUGGGACUGAGAUACGGCCCAGACUCCUACGGGAGGCAGCAGUGGGGAAUAUUGCACAAUGGGCGGAAGCCUGAUGCAGCAACGCCGCGUGCGGGAUGACGGCCUUCGGGUUGUAAACCGCUUUCGCCUGUGACGAAGCGUGAGUGACGGUAAUGGGUAAAGAAGCACCGGCUAACUACGUG